GGAAGUAAAAGUCGUAACAAGAUUUCCGUAGGUGAACCUGCGGAAGGAUCAUUAUUGUAUAACCGAGGUGCGAGGGCUGUCGCUGACUCGAAAGGUCGUGCACGCCCGAGUGCCCUCACACACAUCCAUCUCACCCCUAUGUGCACCACCGCGUGGGUCCCCCUUUGGCUUGUUCGGAGGGGGGCUUACGUUUUCACACAAACUUUGUAUGCAGUGUAGAAUGUAUUUUUUGUUUUUGCGAUCACGCAAUCAAUACAACUUUCAACAACGGAUCUCUUGGCUCUC
Molecule: unclassified non-coding RNA, 285 nt
Filed under: plant metagenome
Description: partial contains small subunit ribosomal RNA, internal transcribed spacer 1, and 5.8S ribosomal RNA
Rfam family: Eukaryotic small subunit ribosomal RNA (bases 1-54)
Source: RNAcentral